RNAcentral lists this small RNA (240 nucleotides) under Arthrobacter sp. RNAcentral describes it as "c-di-AMP sequence". It matches the Rfam family "c-di-AMP riboswitch aptamer (ydaO/yuaA leader)". From Rfam's summary of the family: This family represents a conserved RNA structure found upstream of the ydaO and yuaA genes in Bacillus subtilis and related genes in other bacteria. The ydaO/yuaA element is thought to act as a genetic "off" switch for the ydaO and yuaA genes in its native state. The record is from RNAcentral. Lineage: Bacteria; Bacillati; Actinomycetota; Actinomycetes; Micrococcales; Micrococcaceae.
CUUGAUCCGGAGCCGAGCUCUGCCAGCGGAUCAGGCGCACAAGUCAUUUCUGGCAGAGGCGGGGGAACCACAACCGGCAGCGGGGGCUGCCUUGGGGUGAAGUCCGUCAGCAGCAAGCCUCUCCAGUGAAGGAUCCUACGGGAUACCCCUGUGCCAAAGCUUGCCCGCGCGGACCGGGUCGAACGAACUCUCUGACCCGAAUCCGACAGCUAACUCCGCAGGCUUUUCCAGAGAGGAACC